GUGGAUUAGAUACCCUGGUAGUCCACGCUGUCAACGAUGUCAACUUGGAGUUUGUGCCACUGAGCGUGGGCUCCGAAGCUAACGCGAUAAGUUGACCGCCUGGGGAGUACGGCCGCAAGGUUAAAACUCAAAUGAAUUGACGGGGGCCCGCACAAGCGGUGGAGCAUGUGGUUUAAUUCGAUGCAACGCGAAGAACCUUACCUGGCCUUGACAUGUCUGGAACCUUGUAGAGAUACGAGGGUGCCUUCGGGAAUCAGAACACAGGUGCUGCAUGGCUGUCGUCAACU
RNAcentral lists this ribosomal RNA (287 nucleotides) under uncultured bacterium. Its description in RNAcentral is "partial 16S ribosomal RNA". It matches the Rfam family "Bacterial small subunit ribosomal RNA", at positions 773 to 1060 of the family's 1533-position model. The record is from RNAcentral.